CCUACGGGUGGCAGCAGUAGGGAAUCUUCCACAAUGGACGCAAGUCUGAUGGAGCAACGCCGCGUGCGUGAAGAAGGGUUUCGGCUCGUAAAGCUCUGUUGGUAGUGAAGAAAGCUAGAGGUAGUAACUGUCCUUUAUUUGACGGUACUUACUUAGAAAGUCCCGGCUCACUACGUGCCAGCAGCCGCGGUAAUACGUAGGUGGCAAGCGUUGUCCGGAUUUAUUGGGCGUAAAGCGAGUGCAGGCGGUUCAAUAAGUCUGAUGUGAAAGCCUUCGGCUCAACCGCGGAAUUGCAUCAGAUACUGUUGGGCUAGAGAGCAGAUGAGGUGAGUGGAACGCAAUGUGUAGCGGUGGAAUGCGUAGAUAUA
This 368-nucleotide ribosomal RNA is filed under the name uncultured bacterium. Its description in RNAcentral is "partial 16S ribosomal RNA". It matches the Rfam family "Bacterial small subunit ribosomal RNA", at positions 338 to 698 of the family's 1533-position model. The record is from RNAcentral.